AAGUUAUCUUUACAAAUAAUCUAAACUCGUUGCUGAUAUUCACAAAUAAGAAAGCUUGAAAGAUGUCUCACUUAAUAUCAGUGCUAGUUUUGUUGCUAGCAAUUAUCACUCUUACUAGCGCAGCAAGAAAUAUUAAUCCCAAAUAUGAGUCUGCACGAUCCAAUGGAUUUAUCAGUUACCAGCCCCCAACGACUGAUACACAAAAACUGGUUGGUCUCAAUCACAGGCGACGUAGACAUUUAGCACCGCCGCCUCCUCCUAAGAAGCCUCCACCAAUUCACGUCCCAGGAACACCACAACGACAGCCUCAUCAACACCCGAUACGCCCACCUCCUAAAAUGUAAGAAUUAAGAACUCACUAUUUGAGGAGGCUAAGUUCGUCCAAUAAACUAUUCCCUCCGGUUAUAAUUUAUAAGAAAAAAAAUUUGUUUUUGAGAUUCAUUAAAUACUUAAUAUAUAUUAAAUACAUUAAAUAUUCAAUGAAUUCAAAAAAUAGUUUUUUUCUCUUAUAAAUAUGACCCAAGGAAAUCAAGUUAAUAUCAUUUUUCAUAGUAUAUUUUAUAUCUUUCUUGUAAUUUUGAUUUAUAUGUUUCUAUUAUCUUUUAGUGUGCUUAAGAUUUUACCAUAUGGAUAAUAAUGAUUUAUUCAUAAUAUUAUUUGAGAAGUGUAUUGUUCAUUAAGGAAAAGAACAAAAAUGAAUGAGGAAAUGUCGUUAAUUGUAUUUGAUAGUUUUUCUAAUGUUUUUUUUUUUUUGACAAAAGUUUUGCUAAUGUUUAUUUUCUUAGUUUAGCAUCUUUAAUUUUCAUAGUUCCAUAUAUUUAGUUUAUUUGGAGCCUAUCAACGAUAUUCCGGUUUAAAUCUUGAUGAUAAUGUCUAACCUAAUAAUAUUUGAUAUUUAUCGGUUUAGAUAUGUCUUGCAAACAAAACACAACCGAUUAUAUCAUACUUAUAUUUAUAAAUAACAAAUUUUAUACCCGUCAAUAACGUUGAGACUACCCUCAUUUACACACAUUUAUCUUAUUGUCAUGAUGGAACAUUCAUAUAAUGUUGGAAGAAAAAUUGGAAGAUUAAACACCAAAUAUUAUACUUUGAUCUAAUGUUGUGUACAUUGAAAAAAUAGUGUGGAGGUUCCACAUAAAAUAGAACACACACAUUAGUAGUGUUUAAAUUACGGUAUUUAAUUUUAAAUAUUUGAUAAUGAUAAAAAUAAUAGUAAUUAUUAUUUUUAUUCAAGUACUAUUAAGAUCAUAGUUCCUUUUUGGAAUAAUAAUGUCCCGUCGAAAUUAAGAAUGAUCUUAAAUGUAUAUAAACAUUCUUUCAAAAAAUUUCUAAUUGAGGAGAAAUUAAAAAGUGGAAAUAGUGGUAUCAGCAUAUUUGAGUGGUCGUAGUGCCAUAUUGAUAUUUUGGAGAAUUAAAGUUAAAAUGGUGGUAACACCAUAUUUGAGUGGUCUCAGCACCAUAAGAGAGUGGUAACAAUACCAUAUUAAAGUGGUUUCAACAUUAAAGAGUGGUCUUACUAUCAUAUUGAAGGUGUAAUUCUCGAACGGUUUUCUACACUGCAAUAGUUAAUCGAACAGUUCUAACCGGGCUUGUUUUAUAUCCUGCAGACGGCGUGGUUAAUAGUCUGUCUUGAACAAUUUUGAGCAGUGUCAUGAAAUGUUUUAUAGAGAGCGACCUGAUCGUGACUCAACCUAGUAACCAGUGGCGGAGCCCUAUCAACGAUUAUAGGUCUAUUUUGCGAGAUUUUAUGCAAUUUUGUGUCAGUUUUAUGUUUUGGUUGAUCCAAAUUCUUGCAAAGUGGUGUAGUGGCCCACCCGAAAAUUUAAAUGAUUCAAUUAUAGGUCUAUUUUGUGAGAUUUUAUACAAUUUUAUGUCGGUUUUAGGUUUCGGUUGAUCCAAAUUCCCGCAAAUUGGUGUAGUGGCCCACCCGAAAAAUUUAAAUAAUUCAAUUAUGAGUCUAAUUUGCGAGACUUUAAACAAUUUUUCAAUAGUUAAUUUUAGUGGCCCACCCUGACAUUUUUUUCUGGCUGGCUCCGCCACUAGUAACAACUUCGAUAGAUAAUAUAAUUUAGAAAUUCAAAUAAAACAGUUUGAAAAUCCAAUUGUCAUGCAAAUUUACUAUUUAGCAAUGUACUGGUUUAUGUCAAACCACUGUCAAUUGAAUUACUCCAAUUUAGCCAAACUCCAAUAUAUAUUUAGCAAUGUACUGAUUUGUUGUUAAUUAGAAAUUUUUAAUGACUUAAUAGAUUUAAAAUCUUUGUGAGCAACAAAUUACAAGCAUUGUUUUAAAUAUAUAAAUCUUUCAAAUGAUGCAUCUAUGCCACUAUUUCUUUAAAUUAGAGUUUGUACUUUGUACACCUGCUGUUGUUUUGUGAAUUUCUAUUUGUUCUCAUGCCUUCCAUAUUGAAAUGAAGAUAUAGAAGAAAAAAUAUGCUGAAACUAGCUAAUUUUCGCAGACUAAACACUAUUAAAUUAGUCUCCAACUUUUUGUGAUGUUCUCAAAAAGUGCCUUCCAUACUAAUAUGAAGAUAUGGAAAGAAUAAUUCAAAAAGAUUAGUCAAUUUCUUUUUGUGUUAACUCUUCGAUUUUUAGGAAAAGAGAUUAUAGUAAUCUCGAGUACAUCUGUAAGGUAAGUAAAAUUUGAGCUAUAAUUGUUUCACUCAUUAAAUAAACUCAUAUGUCAUAAACAAUAUGUUCUUUAAUGAAAUUUAUUAACCACUCAAGUGUGAUUGCUUGUUUAAGAUUAGUCAAUUUACUCUUAUUAGUUCUUCAAAGAGUAUGUUAGGGACUAAUUUGAAUUUUUUUUUUAUCGCAAGGGACUAAUUCGAUUGAAAGUGGAUAAAUUUAGAGAUCAAACUAGUAAAUGAUUAAAUACAAACCCACUUGGGUUGACCUAGUGGUAUUGGUUUGGGACCUUAGAGUGUGCUCCUUCUCAAGGCUCAUGUUCGAUUCUCUUUGGUGCUAAUUUAGGUGGGUUAAUUUAAUUUCUUAAAUAAAAAGUGAUUAAAUACAAAAAGAACUUGAUAGUUUAAUAGAGUUAGAAAUAAUUUUGGUAUACUCAUAAUUUCAUAAACCAAUCCGAGAAUGUUAUACAAAAUCAUAGUCUAAUUUUAUGAUACCUCUAUUUCUUUUUGGUAAAUAGAGAUAACUUUCAUUAACCAACACAAUUAUUAUAAACCACAUGGAAUUAGGAAACAACUAAACAAAGAAACAAGAGUUAAGCUCAAACAAACAAAAAGAACCAUUAGCUUCGCACCCGAAUCAUCAGAGUUUGCACCUUCUUGAAUUGCAAUCCUAUAAUGUAAGCAUCCAUCUUGAUUUGGUUAAGGGGUUGUUGAACAGAUCGGUAACAAUUCUGAAAUCUUCUAUCAUUCCUCUCCUUCCAGAUCAUAUAGAGGGUCACACUCAACACCAUUCUAUGAGUUUGAUGCAUGUCAUUGUUACUGUUACAAUGAGACUGGAUAUAUUGCAAAAUAGAUUGCCAAUUGCUUAUAUUGACACUCAUAUUCAUCCAUCUCAUAGCACCUUUCUAAACAACAUCAUCAUAUUCACAAGAAAAAAAAAGGUGAGAAUGAGUUUCAUUCUCCUUUGUACACAAAAUGCAAACCUGGUCACAUUGGAUACCUACUUUAAGCAUCCUCUCACAUCUCCGAUGUUUUUACAAAACAACAUCCUAAUUCCAAACACAUAAAAAAAAAAAAAAAGGUUAAUAGAGCUUUACCCCCUGUAAUAUAGGGCACUUUUGGUUUCCCCCCUGUAAAGUAUUUUUUUUUAGAUUCUGUCCUUGUAAAAUAAGGAUUCUUCAAGAUUGCCGCUUGAGCCCUGUGACUCAACAGAGUCUAUGAUGUGACAUUUUAUUUUAUUUUUCAAUUUUUUUGGAUGCCACGUGCAAAAAAGAAUUUACAUGUCAUUUAUAAUUAAAAAAGUAAAAAAAUAUAUUUUUUUUUAAAAACGAAAAAUCUUUUUUUAAUUAUUUUUUAAAAAGCUCAAAUUAUUUUAAAAAUCAGAAAAAAAUACUAAUUAUUUUCAAAAAAUUGAAAAAAAAAUCAAUUUUUUUUUCAAAAAUUAAAAAAAUUGAAAAUUUUAUUUUGAAAAUGAAAUUCCAGAUUUUUUUUUAUUUUAGCUCAAAAAAAUGACAUGGAAAAUGUAUUUUACAUGUGGCAUUAAAAAAAAUUGAAAAAAAAAAUGCCACGUUAGUGACACAUCAAAGAUUCUGCUGAGUCACAGUGCAUAGGUGACAAUCUUGAAGAAUCUUUAUUUUACAAGGACGGAAUCUAAAAAAAUAAAAUUACAAGGGGGAAAAUCAAAAGUGCUCUAUAUUACAGGGGUUAAAGCCCUAUAAACCCUAAAAAAAUAUUCGGUUUUUUGCGGUUUUUAAUUUUUUUUGGAUUAGUUUACGGUUUUUUUAUCGGUUUGAAUUUGAACACCCCUAAAACCAUCUCCAAUGGGAGAUCUUCAACAUUUAAGACCCGAUAUCUAUUAGGUACCCCCAUUUGGGAGAAAAAAUUUCAAGGUCUUAUAAGACCAUGGGGGGUCUCACUUAAGACCCUCAAUCUUAAGCGGGACCCACUCUAUUUUAAUAUUAAAAAAUUGAAAUAUAAUGAUAUAAAGUUAUUGAUAGUUGCUUAUCGUGGCUCAUUUAAGUAAUUUGUAUGAGAUGCUGGGUUGGAAGGAUUGAGUACUUAUUAGAUACUUCCUCCGUUUCAAAAUACUUGUCCAUUUUGAAGAAAUUACACAUACCAAUGAAUCAAAUAAAUGUUGUCAUUUUUUAUGAAAUUCUUUGUGUCUUUUUCUAUAAUACCCUGCUCAUUUAUUAUUUCAUUCAAUUAUUUCUCUCUCAACAAUAAAUAGGUAAGGGUAAUAUUGAUAAACCAAUAAUUAAUGUUGCAUUGAAACUUCAAAGUGACAAGUAAAAUGAAACAAAAUAAUUCUCCAAAAUGGACAAGUAUUGUGAAAUGGAGGGAGUACUACUCUUAAAUAAUUAUAAAUAAGUGAUGUAUCCGUAAGACUCAUUUAAAUAUUUAAAAAUGAAUAUCUCCAUUAUAGAUGCUGUAAUAAAGAAUAUAACUUUUUAUUAAAAAAUUUUGUAAUUAUUACAUCAACAAAAAUAACAAUUUUUUUUUUGAAGAAACAAAAAUAACAACUUGUUUUAUAAAAAAAGUAAAAACUUAUUUCAAAGACAUACUGUCAUUUAAUACAAUUCUUUUUUCUUUUUUGACCAAACAUUUAAUACAAUUCUUAAAAAACUUGUGAAGCUGGUUUCUUAAGAAACAAAAUGACUAUACGGCCCAUGUUAAAGCAACCUCUCUCGCCAACUUCUUCACAAUCAAACAAGAGAAAUUUGGCAUCUUGAUCUCACCAAUAAUUCUCUCAUCUCUCUUUCACUGAAAAGUCUAACAAGGUUUAUGUGGGUCAAAAUCGUCGACAAGAUAGUUUUUCUUGUUGGGAAGUUAAGUGGAAAUGAAGUAUUUUUUGGAAGAAAAAGACCAAACUUUUCUACGCUCCCUACAUAGUUUUGAGAAAUUGUUAUCAUUACAAAUAACCUAAACUCGUUGCUGAUAUUCACAAAUAAGAAAGCUUGAAAGAUGUCUUACUUAAUAUCCAUGCUAGUUUUGUUGCUAGCAAUUAUCACUCUUACAACCGUAGCAGGAAAUAUUAAUCCCAAAUAUGAGUCUGCACGAUCCAAUGGAUUCAUCAGUUACCAGCCCCCAACAACUGAUACACAAAAACUGGUUGGUCUCGAUUACAGGCGACGUAGACAUGCACCACCGCCGCCACCUCAAUAUCGUCCCAGAAUUAACUACCCAGGAACACCACACCAACAGCCUCAUCGACACCAGUUACGCCCACCUCCUAAAAUGUAAGAAUUAAGAACUCACCAUUUGAGGAGGCUAAGUUGGUCCAAUAAACUACUCUCUCCUGUUAUGUUUAAAAAAAAAAAAAAAAGUUUUUUUUAGAUUCAUUGAAUACUUGAUACAUAUUAUAAACCAAAUAUAUUAAGUAUUCAAUAAAUCUAACAAUCAGUUUUUUUUAGUUUAUAAAUGUAACUGAAGGACAAUUAACAUCAUCGUUGAUAGUAUAUUUUAUGUCUUUCACUAAAAAAAGUAUAUUUUAUGUCUUAGUUGUUAUUUUGAUUUAUAUAUUUUCUGUACUUUUUAGUGUGCUUAAGAUUUUACCAUAUGGAUAAUAAUGAUUUAUCCAGAAUAUUAUAUAAUAAGUGUAUUAAUUGUUCAUUAAGGAAAAGAACAAAAAUAAAUGUGGAAACGUCUUUAAUUGUAUUUGAUAGUUUUUUUUUAUUGUUUAUUUUAUCUUUAAUUUUCUUAGUUCCAUAUUUUUAAUUUAUUUGGAGCCUGUCAACGAUAUUCCGGGUUGGAAUCCAGUUAAUAAUAUGUCUAACAUAAUAAUAUUGUUAUUUGUCGGUUGAGUUAUGUCUUACGAACAACGACGCAAUUUAUUAGUAUAUCAUAUUUAAUAUCUUUUGUCAAAAAAAAAAAUCAUACCUUUUUUUUUUUUUUUUUAUUUAAGGAGAAAUCAUACUUAAUAUCUACUGUGUGAAUAGAAUUACUCAAAUUUAGCCAAACUGCAAUAUAUAUGCUCCCAUUCACUUUAUACAUUUUCCGGUACUGAUUUGUUGUUGGAAAUUGUUAAAGACUUACCAGAUUUAAAAUAUAUUUGAGUAAACUAAAUCAGAAAAUAUCAUAUCAUCUUUUGUUUGAUUUCCUUACAACUUUUUUUGGUCAAGUAGGCAAACAGCCAGAGAAAUUCACUUUAAAUGUGAAUAAGUAGGAUGUUGGGGGUUCAAACUCCAGCCUCUACAUAUAUAUGCAUUAUCCAAUACUAAAUAAGUUAAUCUUACAGGAACCCCCAUACAUACAAUUUACAUGGUAUAUUUAUUAUUUUUUCAACAAACAUACCUCUUAUUAAUAUUACUAAUUUAUCCUUGAAAAUGAAAAGUUAAAAUUAAACACUAAUUUAUUUCAAUGUUUUCCAACUUCAAAGUUAUUGUUAAAUCGGCGCACAUUACUACUUUGUUUAAUAUGACAUCUUCAUAUAAGUGAUUUAAAAAAAAAAUAGUGGUAUUUGAACAACCAUUUCAUACAACUUUUGGUGACAAUUUCUUUUCUCUCUUUUCAUUGGUUAAAAAUAAUGGAGAGAGAAAAAUGAAGAGAGAAAAUAAGAGGAUAAUGCGAGUAUGAGAGAUAAAGUUAUAAAAAAAUCGUCAUAAAAUGGAUGUACAAAUAUUAUUUCUCUUAAAAAAAAAAAAAGGGGUUGACAUCGUUCUAUAUAACUAUAAAUUACUAAUAAGAUAUAGUUAAAGUGGCCCCAUACGAACACAUCAUUUGUUCAAUCAAUUUUUAAAGGUAAUGUUUAAUAAGUAUUUAUUUAUUCCAAUCUAACAACUCUUCAAAAAUUAUUAAGUGGGUCCUACAAAUAACUUUACAUUAGUACUUUUUAAAAACAAUUAAUAUGUUUGUGCAAUUUGCUCAUUAUUUAGCAAAGACGAUUCCGUGUCAUGUUAGUUUCCGUGUUCAUAUUAGAACUCUAUCAUAUAUCUCUAUUAUUAUUAUAAAUGAAAUGCACUAAAUUUUCCUUUGUAAAAACAGUUUGUGCAACAUUAUUAUUUUUUAAAUAUGAAGAAAACAUUGAAUAGAGAGUAUGCAAUACAAGAGAGAGACAAUACUUUUACUACAAGCUUUGCAUCUAAAUAACAGUGCUUCUUAUUUCUUCUCCAUUGAUAACAAAAAAGGACUUGUUUCUACCUACUAAGUAACAAAAUAGUCUUUGUCAAAAAAAAAAAAAAGUAACAAAAUAGUCAAUAGUAAGCAUUUUCUUCAAAUCUUCACUUGAAUUACCAUUGACCAAACAAUGCUACGAUAUACUCAACUAUUGAGUUUCCUUUGAUCUUUGAUAAAAUGUCAAUUAUAAGAUGGACAAUUUAAAUGAGAAAACCCCUAAAUUUCAUUUUAAGGUGAAAUGAUCAAAGUCCUUUACUUUAUGUUACCAACUUACUCAAAUUAAAACCAUGAGAUCAUCUCACUCUAACGUACCAAAAUUCAAUCAAGUCUAAGUUACUCCAUUUAUUCUCUAAUUACAAAAGUUUAUAUGAAUUUUCAGAGAGAUGAAUGCGAUGAGGGUUUGAACAAGAUAAAGAGAAAAUGUCAUAAUUUAAAAAAAUAGAUUGUUAAAACUUAUAUAAUUUUUGAGAAUAUAAGAGAAGUGAACAUGUAUAAAUUUUGUGAAAAUAUACGAUUGAAUCAAUUCAUUCAAAUCUAGAACAUAAGUGUGAAUCGAUUCAUAAGUUAGAGACUUUUAAAGCACUAUUUUAAAGAAAAAUAGGGAGUGAAUCGAUUCAUUCAACCUCGGAAAAGGAUUUGUGAAUCGAUUCAUAAGUCAAAGAGUUAAACCUCUUAAAAAAAAUAAUUCAUUCAAAUCAUAAACGAGGUAUGAACCGAUUCACUUAACUUAAAGUGUAAUAAAUCAUGUUUUUUUAUUAUGUGAAUUGAUUUUCACAUACCCCAAAAUUAAUUUUUUUUUUAUGCUAACAUAACUUCCAAAAACAUUAUUCAUUGAAAUUUCAAAGGGACGGUGAUGUGAUACUUAGAAGUUACUUAGUUACAUCAAUUAUAAACUUAUUUUUUGUCCUCUAAUUGAAAUGAAUUCUUAUACACUAAAAAUAAUAUGUACUUACAUGAUGCACUUAAUUAGUUAAAAAUUAUUUAAUUGAUGCACUUCGUUAAUAUAAAAAAUAUUACAGUGUUGGUAAUCAAUGGAUUCACAUUGACACCACAAUUAUUUUCACUUUUCAAAAUAUUAUAAUACUCCCUCCGUCCCUAAUUAUAAGACCCUUUUGAGAAUUUUUUUUGUCCCUUUUUAUAAGAUNUUGGAAUAAUAAUGUCCCGUCGAAAUUAAGAAUGAUCUUAAAUGUAUAUAAACAUUCUUUCAAAAAAUUUCUAAUUGAGGAGAAAUUAAAAAGUGGAAAUAGUGGUAUCAGCAUAUUUGAGUGGUCGUAGUGCCAUAUUGAUAUUUUGGAGAAUUAAAGUUAAAAUGGUGGUAACACCAUAUUUGAGUGGUCUCAGCACCAUAAGAGAGUGGUAACAAUACCAUAUUAAAGUGGUUUCAACAUUAAAGAGUGGUCUUACUAUCAUAUUGAAGGUGUAAUUCUCGAACGGUUUUCUACACUGCAAUAGUUAAUCGAACAGUUCUAACCGGGCUUGUUUUAUAUCCUGCAGACGGCGUGGUUAAUAGUCUGUCUUGAACAAUUUUGAGCAGUGUCAUGAAAUGUUUUAUAGAGAGCGACCUGAUCGUGACUCAACCUAGUAACCAGUGGCGGAGCCCUAUCAACGAUUAUAGGUCUAUUUUGCGAGAUUUUAUGCAAUUUUGUGUCAGUUUUAUGUUUUGGUUGAUCCAAAUUCUUGCAAAGUGGUGUAGUGGCCCACCCGAAAAUUUAAAUGAUUCAAUUAUAGGUCUAUUUUGUGAGAUUUUAUACAAUUUUAUGUCGGUUUUAGGUUUCGGUUGAUCCAAAUUCCCGCAAAUUGGUGUAGUGGCCCACCCGAAAAAUUUAAAUAAUUCAAUUAUGAGUCUAAUUUGCGAGACUUUAAACAAUUUUUCAAUAGUUAAUUUUAGUGGCCCACCCUGACAUUUUUUUCUGGCUGGCUCCGCCACUAGUAACAACUUCGAUAGAUAAUAUAAUUUAGAAAUUCAAAUAAAACAGUUUGAAAAUCCAAUUGUCAUGCAAAUUUACUAUUUAGCAAUGUACUGGUUUAUGUCAAACCACUGUCAAUUGAAUUACUCCAAUUUAGCCAAACUCCAAUAUAUAUUUAGCAAUGUACUGAUUUGUUGUUAAUUAGAAAUUUUUAAUGACUUAAUAGAUUUAAAAUCUUUGUGAGCAACAAAUUACAAGCAUUGUUUUAAAUAUAUAAAUCUUUCAAAUGAUGCAUCUAUGCCACUAUUUCUUUAAAUUAGAGUUUGUACUUUGUACACCUGCUGUUGUUUUGUGAAUUUCUAUUUGUUCUCAUGCCUUCCAUAUUGAAAUGAAGAUAUAGAAGAAAAAAUAUGCUGAAACUAGCUAAUUUUCGCAGACUAAACACUAUUAAAUUAGUCUCCAACUUUUUGUGAUGUUCUCAAAAAGUGCCUUCCAUACUAAUAUGAAGAUAUGGAAAGAAUAAUUCAAAAAGAUUAGUCAAUUUCUUUUUGUGUUAACUCUUCGAUUUUUAGGAAAAGAGAUUAUAGUAAUCUCGAGUACAUCUGUAAGGUAAGUAAAAUUUGAGCUAUAAUUGUUUCACUCAUUAAAUAAACUCAUAUGUCAUAAACAAUAUGUUCUUUAAUGAAAUUUAUUAACCACUCAAGUGUGAUUGCUUGUUUAAGAUUAGUCAAUUUACUCUUAUUAGUUCUUCAAAGAGUAUGUUAGGGACUAAUUUGAAUUUUUUUUUUAUCGCAAGGGACUAAUUCGAUUGAAAGUGGAUAAAUUUAGAGAUCAAACUAGUAAAUGAUUAAAUACAAACCCACUUGGGUUGACCUAGUGGUAUUGGUUUGGGACCUUAGAGUGUGCUCCUUCUCAAGGCUCAUGUUCGAUUCUCUUUGGUGCUAAUUUAGGUGGGUUAAUUUAAUUUCUUAAAUAAAAAGUGAUUAAAUACAAAAAGAACUUGAUAGUUUAAUAGAGUUAGAAAUAAUUUUGGUAUACUCAUAAUUUCAUAAACCAAUCCGAGAAUGUAAUACAAAAUCAUAGACUAAUUUUAUGAUACCUCUAUUUCUUUUUGGUAAAUAGAGAUAACUUUCAUUAACCAACGCAAUUAUUAUAAACCAGAUGGAAUUAGGAAACAACUAAACAAAGAAACAAGAGUUAAGCAUCCAUUAAUGAGUUUGCACCCGAAUCAUCAGAGUUUGCACCUUCUUGAAUUGCAAUCCUAUAAUGUAAGCAUCCAUUUUGAUUUGGUUAAGGAGUUGUUGAACAGAUCGGUAACAAUUCUGAAAUCUUCUAUCAUUCCUCUCCUUCCAGAUCAUAUAGAGGGUCACACUCAACACCAUUCUAUGAGUUUGAUGCAUGCCAUUGUUACUGUUACAAUGAGACUGGACAUAUUGCAAAAUAGAUUGCCAAUUGCUAGUAUUGACACUCAUAUUCAUCCAUCUCAUAGCACCUUUCUAAACAACAACAUCAUAUUCACAAGAAGAAAAAAAAAAGUGAGAUUGAGUUUCAUUCUCCUUUGUACACAAAAUGCAAACCUGGUCACAUUGGAUACCUACUUUAAGCAUCCUCUCACAUCCCAGAAGUUUUUACAAAACAACAUCCUAAUUCCAAACACAUAAAAAAAAAAGGAUUAAUAGAGCUUUACCCCCUUGUAAUAUAUGACACUUUUGGUUUUCCCCCUGUAAUUUUUUUUUUAGAUUCCGUCCUUUUAAAAUAAAGAUUCUUCAAGAUUGCCCCCUGAACCCUGUGACUCAGCAGAAUCUAUGAUGUGACAUUUUUUUUUUCAAUUUUUUUGGAUGCCACGUGUAAAAAAGAUUUUACAUGUCAUUUAUAAUUAAAAAAGUAAAAAAAAUAUAUUUUUUUUAAAAAACGAAAAAAUCUUUUUUUAAAAAGCUAAAAUUAUUUUAAAAAUCAGAAAAAUACUAAUUUUUUUUAAAAAAUUUGAAAAAUCGAAAAAAAAUCAAUUUUUUUUUCCAAAAUUUAAAAAAUUGAAAAUGAAAUUCCAGAUUUUUUUUUUUUUAUUUUAGCUCAAAAAACUGACAUGGAAAAUGUAUUUUACACGUGACAUUAAAAAAAAAUUGAAAAAUAAAAAAAAAUGUCACGUCAGUGACAUAUCAAAGAUUCUGCUGAGUCACAGUGCAUAGUGGGCAAUCUUGAAGAAUCUUUAUUUUAUAAGGACGAAAUCUAAAAAAAAAAAUUUGCAGGGGGAAAACCAAAAGUGCCCUAUAUUACAGGGUGGUAAAGUCCUAUUAACCCUAAAAAAAAUAUUCGGUUUUUUGCGGUUUUCAAUUUUUUUUGAUUAGUUUACAGUUUUUUUAUCGGUUUGAAUUUGAACACCCCUAAAACCAUCUCCAAUGGGAGAUCUUCAACAUUUAAGACCCGAUAUCUAUUAGGUACUCCCAUUUGGGAGAAAAUUUUUCAAGGUCUUAAAAGACCUGGGGGUCUCACUUAAGACCCUCAAUCUUAAGCGGGACCCACUCUCUUUUAAUAUUAAAAAAUUGAAAUAUAAUGAUAUAAAGUUAUUGAUAGUUGCUUAUCGUGGCUCAUUUAAGUAAUUUGUAUGAGAUGCUGGGUUGGAAGGAUUGAGUACUUAUUAGAUACUUCCUCCGUUUCAAAAUACUUGUCCAUUUUGAAGAAAUUACACAUACCAAUGAAUCAAAUAAAUGUUGUCAUUUUUUAUGAAAUUCUUUGUGUCUUUUUCUAUAAUACCCUGCUCAUUUAUUAUUUCAUUCAAUUAUUUCUCUCUCAACAAUAAAUAGGUAAGGGUAAUAUUGAUAAACCAAUAAUUAAUGUUGCAUUGAAACUUCAAAGUGACAAGUAAAAUGAAACAAAAUAAUUCUCCAAAAUGGACAAGUAUUGUGAAAUGGAGGGAGUACUACUCUUAAAUAAUUAUAAAUAAGUGAUGUAUCCGUAAGACUCAUUUAAAUAUUUAAAAAUGAAUAUCUCCAUUAUAGAUGCUGUAAUAAAGAAUAUAACUUUUUAUUAAAAAAUUUUGUAAUUAUUACAUCAACAAAAAUAACAAUUUUUUUUUUGAAGAAACAAAAAUAACAACUUGUUUUAUAAAAAAAGUAAAAACUUAUUUCAAAGACAUACUGUCAUUUAAUACAAUUCUUUUUUCUUUUUUGACCAAACAUUUAAUACAAUUCUUAAAAAACUUGUGAAGCUGGUUUCUUAAGAAACAAAAUGACUAUACGGCCCAUGUUAAAGCAACCUCUCUCGCCAACUUCUUCACAAUCAAACAAGAGAAAUUUGGCAUCUUGAUCUCACCAAUAAUUCUCUCAUCUCUCUUUCACUGAAAAGUCUAACAAGGUUUAUGUGGGUCAAAAUCGUCGACAAGAUAGUUUUUCUUGUUGGGAAGUUAAGUGGAAAUGAAGUAUUUUUUGGAAGAAAAAGACCAAACUUUUCUACGCUCCCUACAUAGUUUUGAGAAAUUGUUAUCAUUACAAAUAACCUAAACUCGUUGCUGAUAUUCACAAAUAAGAAAGCUUGAAAGAUGUCUUACUUAAUAUCCAUGCUAGUUUUGUUGCUAGCAAUUAUCACUCUUACAACCGUAGCAGGAAAUAUUAAUCCCAAAUAUGAGUCUGCACGAUCCAAUGGAUUCAUCAGUUACCAGCCCCCAACAACUGAUACACAAAAACUGGUUGGUCUCGAUUACAGGCGACGUAGACAUGCACCACCGCCGCCACCUCAAUAUCGUCCCAGAAUUAACUACCCAGGAACACCACACCAACAGCCUCAUCGACACCAGUUACGCCCACCUCCUAAAAUGUAAGAAUUAAGAACUCACCAUUUGAGGAGGCUAAGUUGGUCCAAUAAACUACUCUCUCCUGUUAUGUUUAAAAAAAAAAAAAAAAGUUUUUUUUAGAUUCAUUGAAUACUUGAUACAUAUUAUAAACCAAAUAUAUUAAGUAUUCAAUAAAUCUAACAAUCAGUUUUUUUUAGUUUAUAAAUGUAACUGAAGGACAAUUAACAUCAUCGUUGAUAGUAUAUUUUAUGUCUUUCACUAAAAAAAGUAUAUUUUAUGUCUUAGUUGUUAUUUUGAUUUAUAUAUUUUCUGUACUUUUUAGUGUGCUUAAGAUUUUACCAUAUGGAUAAUAAUGAUUUAUCCAGAAUAUUAUAUAAUAAGUGUAUUAAUUGUUCAUUAAGGAAAAGAACAAAAAUAAAUGUGGAAACGUCUUUAAUUGUAUUUGAUAGUUUUUUUUUAUUGUUUAUUUUAUCUUUAAUUUUCUUAGUUCCAUAUUUUUAAUUUAUUUGGAGCCUGUCAACGAUAUUCCGGGUUGGAAUCCAGUUAAUAAUAUGUCUAACAUAAUAAUAUUGUUAUUUGUCGG
RNAcentral lists this long non-coding RNA (14013 nucleotides) under Medicago truncatula (barrel medic). RNAcentral's name for it is "long non-coding RNA (MTRU_LNC006378)". Lineage: Eukaryota; Viridiplantae; Streptophyta; Magnoliopsida; Fabales; Fabaceae. The record is from RNAcentral.